Ruditapes philippinarum (Manila clam) is the source of this 284-nucleotide long non-coding RNA. RefSeq lists it as uncharacterized. The transcript has 4 exons. NCBI's taxonomy places the organism in Eukaryota, Metazoa, Mollusca, Bivalvia, Venerida, Veneridae. The record is from RefSeq and is a predicted model, not a curated record.
AAACCAUUUGCAACUCCACACGAUUCAAAACUUUGCAUGAAAUGAAAAUCAUUUGAAUAAAGGACCUAAGAGAGGCACAGUACAGAGGCUGCUCAAAUUUUCCAGGACACUGCUGGGUGGAAAUCAUAAGGAACUUGGAUGAAGCUCAGAUUUGCCCCUGCUGGAUGAAGAUAAUGCUAUAUUGAGGUAUGAGCAUCAGUUUGUAGAUUAUCUUGGUAGAGGACUGGUAGAUAAUUGAAGCCAGGUUGACUAAUACAUGUAUAUAGAAGCGACAUGGGCAGACA